AACACUGUUAACCUGCGGUACCUGCGGAAGGAUCAUUACAGAGUGUUUAACCCCCUAUAAAAUGGUGGGUCUAACCUCCCGUCCUUUGCUGGGUCCCCCCUCUGGAGGACUUUCAAAACUUUCUGCUUCGGCGGGGUAUACCCGCCGGAACACCCUCAAAAAAUUCUUGAUCAAAAUGGUUCGGUCCGAGAAACUUUUUGUGAAAAUUAGCGAAAAACUUUCAGCAACGGAUCUCAGAUC
This 240-nucleotide unclassified non-coding RNA is filed under the name soil metagenome. Its description in RNAcentral is "partial contains 5.8S ribosomal RNA, internal transcribed spacer 2, and large subunit ribosomal RNA". The record is from RNAcentral.